UACGUAGGGGGCAAGCGUUGUCCGGAAUCAUUGGGCGUAAAGCGCGUGUAGGCGGGUCGGUAAGUCCGCUCUGAAAGCCCGGGGCUCAACCCCGGGAGGCGGGUGGAUACUGUCGACCUCGAGUCCGGAAGAGGCGAGUGGAAUUCCUGGUGUAGCGGUGAAAUGCGCAGAUAUCAGGAGGAACACCAAUGGCGAAGGCAGCUCGCUGGGACGGUACUGACGCUGAGACGCGAAAGCGUGGGGAGCAAACGGG
RNAcentral lists this ribosomal RNA (253 nucleotides) under uncultured bacterium. RNAcentral describes it as "partial 16S ribosomal RNA". It matches the Rfam family "Bacterial small subunit ribosomal RNA", at positions 524 to 776 of the family's 1533-position model. The record is from RNAcentral.